Long non-coding RNA from Pseudophryne corroboree (corroboree frog), 694 nucleotides. RefSeq lists it as uncharacterized. The transcript has 3 exons. The record is from RefSeq and is a predicted model, not a curated record. Lineage: Eukaryota; Metazoa; Chordata; Amphibia; Anura; Myobatrachidae.
UAUUCCUGUAGUGCAUUGAUUGCACAACCUACGCAGUGCACCCCAGAUGGCUGCCUCGGAUGGUUCCUCCAUGGGCAGGGGGUGGUGUUUUCUGUGUGCUCCGGUCCGGGUGCUCCAUGACGCCGCGGCUGGCGCCUCGUAAUGACGUCAUCAGUUGGACGGAGUGGGACGCGACUAGCAGGAGGCGCCAUGGACCAUCAGACGGAGUUAAAAGGGCACUCCAUCAUCGUCUGGGACAAAAACAGCAACUGCCUCCUGUGUGAUCAACAAUGUGUUAUCUAGUUUUUGGGGGAGGGGACUUUCUCAUUCAUGAUGAGUCACUAGUCCAUUUGUAUAUGCUCCACACGUUCAGCCUUGAAGACAUCCAAAGGGGCUGGCCUGAGUUUCCUGUCCAUUGUACUAAUAAGAGUGAUUUUUAGCUUUCAUACAUUUGAUCAUAACUAUUUGUUGCAAUGUCCUACAACUUAAUAACAAGUAUCAAAUGAAUCUACACAUUAAUCUGGUUGCUUAAAUACCAAAUAUGACUGGUGUAUCUUGCUUCGUUCAAAUAAUACACAUACAUGGCAUUACUUCAUUAUAUAAUUUUAAAUCAUGAUGUCUGGUGCUUGAUAUUACAGGUUGAGUAUCCCAUAUCCAAAUAUUCCGAAAUAUGGAAUAUUCCGAAAUACAGACUUUUUUGAGUGAGAGUGAGAUA